UGCCUGGGACUUCAAAGGUAGGCGAGGAGGGAAUUCUACAAAGAGCCAGUGAGGAUCGUAACGUACGAUAGUCAUUACCGUAACCACCACGGACUUCCGCUGAGCGCCCGUCUCCGCGCAAGUACUGACCCUGGAACCCCAGUUGCCUGGGUCCACCUGUCGAACCAAACACAAGCCUCCUUUAGGUCUCUUCCACUCAUCUCAGCAGGACUUGGCUACCCAGAAACGUCACCUAACACCCGCAGCUUCCCCCCAUCAUCUGUGACUACCUACUGUGUCCGUGAGACUGUCCAGUCUAUAGACUGCCGCUCAGAGAAGCCAACAGCACUGCUCCCAUCAAGACUGAAGCUGGGGAGGAGGGAGAGCAUCUAACUGAAGGUUUCACAUCCUCUGAGCCUGGAGAUAGCAGAGCUAAUAUCCUGGAAAGAGCAUUGUGGAUGAAGACAUUGUCGCUGCACUACUUUUUAAUUGUGAAGAAAUCACCAACGAUCAGAGGAGAGUUAAAAAAAUAUUGUUACAUCUGAAGAAUGAAAUAGUGUGUAAUUUUUAACACCAUGGAAAACUGUAUACCAUUAUAUAAAAUACAAAAGAUAAAGGUACAAAAUUGUCUAUCCAGUAAGCUAUCAACUACAUGAAAAGAAAAGAAUCCUUGAAGAAAGAAAAAAGGAAGACCUGAAAAGAAAUAUAGCAAUAUAGUGGCAGGAAUUGUUCAUAUUUGUUUCUUCUCUUCCUACUUUGUAUUAAUUCC
Molecule: long non-coding RNA, 748 nt
Filed under: Pan paniscus (pygmy chimpanzee)
Lineage: Eukaryota; Metazoa; Chordata; Mammalia; Primates; Hominidae
Description: lncRNA (ENSPPAG00000045536.1)
Source: RNAcentral